UUAAGCUGAUUUAUUUUAACCGUAGCACUACUGCUUUAUUUUAGUUAUAUACCAGUAAUGGAAAAUAGUGGCCACUUUUCAUUAUUAAUCAUAAGAUAAUUCAUUGUAUUUGUCUUUCCUAAUAAAAUGGCAUUAUAUUAAGGCCCAAAAUGUUUACUAUGGCCCAGUAAAAUAUAGGGUUGUUCUGUGAGCUAUUUCUUAGGAUAGAAAAUUAUUCCAGAAAGCUAUUAGUUCAAAAGUCUCUAGCAGUGCCAAGGUUUCAAUAGUCUCUUUAAUUUUGAAUCUAUGCGAUUGAAGAUAAGACUGCAUCUAGUUUGGGGGUUGCAUGUUUGUGGACAUUCAUGUUUCUAUGUACCUGGAACUUCUUAUUCUCACCAUCACACAGAAUUUUCAAGAACUAGUUAAGCAAAGAAAGCAAAGCCCAGCAGGUGUCAGAAUUGGGUCCCCAAGCUGAGGGUCAUUAGGGUGCAUGUCAGUGUGCCAACUCCAAUAUCCACACCUAGAGAACGCACAUCUUCCCAAAAGAAAUGAAGCACAGAUGAUACUUGAUCCUCAACUUUGUCUCCAGAAAUUUUUUCAGGAACUUGAGUUCUUUAUCAAAUGCUCACAUCCUACAGAGAAAUAAAGUGUUCCAUUUUCAAGGUUCAUGAAGCUCGUCAAUGCUGGGAGCAGGCACACACUUGUAUUUUUAUACUCAGGGAUCCCAACAGGCAACUAAAACUAGACAAGGACAAAACUCCACUCAAAAUAUUCUGAAAGUUAGCUGAUGCCCCAUAUUUUAUUACUCCAAAUGUGUAUUCACUUGCCUGAGUGCUGGCCAUGAGCACUCAGUGAACACUUGCAGUACAGUGAGUGAUGUCCUUGACAAGUUACUAUGAAGACUCUGAGAAAAAGUAACAUCCCCCACUGUCCUCAACAAGCCUGUAAUCCCAUGGCUGCCAGCCCUUACCAUGCAACAACACUGCGCUAAGUGCAUCGAACCACACAAAACCCUGUGAGAAAAUACUGCUUCCCACUUCACACGUGAAGUAACUGAGUCUAGUUUUAGAAAUACCUAAACGAAGAGGGACAGGCACAACAAAUUUGCUGGAAUGUAAAGAAAGUAGAUCAGUUUCUGCGUAAGCAGUAAGAAAUGGCCUCAUGAGGAAGAAAGGGACAUUUGCCCUGACAUUUCUCAAAGACUGCUUAGGUUUUGGAGACAGAGAUCCAAGGGCAGGCAAGCACAAUGGUUCAUGCCUGUAAUUCCAGCACUUUGAGAGGCCAAGGUGGGAGGAUUGCUUGAGCCCAGGAAUUCAAGAUUAGCCUGUGCAACACAGCAAGACCCCAUCUCUAUUUUAAAAAGAGAGAGAGAGAUCCAAAAGCAAAGGCAUUUCAGUUUGCAAGGCCAGCAUGGGAGAGGGUCUUAAAACAGAAACACACAAGGUAAGAUUGGGGGAUGGUACCUAGACCAGCCUAGGAUCAUAGGAUUUGAUAAAAUAUGCAUUUGGAAAACUGGUGCUAAUUUAUAGAGACUUAGAAUUUCAGGCUAAGGACAAGGACUAAGAAACGAAUAGCAUGAACAGUAUUAUUGAUAAACCCAUCAUUGCAUCUUAAAGGCUCUGAAGUCUUUAGUAUUGAAUUAAAAAAUAAUUUUCACUGGACAAAACCAAAAGGUCUUUACACAACUGUCAAGCACUUUGAAAUGAUUCAGCAAAAAGCAGAAUAAAUCACUAGUGGAAUUUCAAUAGCAUGUAGUUGUAAACCAUCAUGUGUCCAGCAAAAUCACAAAACAAGAGUUUAUUUUAGAAGGGACUUAGGGAUAUUAAGAAAUAUAACAUACAAAAUAACUAAAGUUUUCUCCAAGCAAAACCAAUGAUCCUUUAGGGAUGAACAGAAAGAAAACAAGAAAUGCUUCUUUCAAAAGUUGCUACCAAGGCUUCUAAGAUUUCUUUGGAAUAAAGUCACUAAGAUUUGCUUCUGAGGUCAAUCUUGCCAACUUUUCCACCAUGCUUUUUAGGAAGGAACACCAGGUAGGGCUCAAGUACUGGUUUGGCUCCUGUCCCAUUUUUUGGUCCUUUUGUAACUCCCUUUACUCAACUCCAAGUAUGUCUGUGCACGGACAAUGAGACGAAAGCAUGCUCAAUGCGAAAGCACAAAUUAUGUAUUGAGAAAUCACUACAAUGCCAAAUUUUUUUAAAAUAAAAAAAAAAUAUAUAUAUAUAUAUAUAUCUUUAAGAACUCGCUGUGUUAGGGAAACUGUUUACAUAUUGAGGUGUUCCUCUUUUUUUGACUGGAACAAUAAAAGAAAAAUUUGAUAAAAAAAA
This 2303-nucleotide long non-coding RNA is filed under the name Homo sapiens (human). Its description in RNAcentral is "non-protein coding lnc-KCNJ6-3:2". The record is from RNAcentral. Lineage: Eukaryota; Metazoa; Chordata; Mammalia; Primates; Hominidae.